GAAAAUGGACUUUUAUAUUUAUGAGUAUUGCUUUUUUCAAAUGAUUACAAGAUGAUUUGCUCAGAUUGUAAACAUUCUCCUUUUAUAAAUCCGAUAGUACGCGAUCUCCACUUUUCCUUCAUGGAUCUUCGCCUCCCCCUUCUCUGCUUCAGCUCCCAGAUUAUCUCAACAACUCACGCAAAUCUCUUGUUGGGCCUUCGGCCCAUCCCCAAUCGCACAUUAUUC
This 225-nucleotide long non-coding RNA is filed under the name Capsella rubella. Its description in RNAcentral is "long non-coding RNA (CRUB_LNC004994)". The record is from RNAcentral. Lineage: Eukaryota; Viridiplantae; Streptophyta; Magnoliopsida; Brassicales; Brassicaceae.